This 530-nucleotide ribosomal RNA is filed under the name Bruchidius tanaensis. RNAcentral describes it as "partial 16S ribosomal RNA". The stretch from base 395 to 530 matches the Rfam family "Bacterial large subunit ribosomal RNA", at positions 2473 to 2608 of the family's 2925-position model. The record is from RNAcentral. Lineage: Eukaryota; Metazoa; Arthropoda; Insecta; Coleoptera; Chrysomelidae.
UCAAAAACAUGUCUUAUUGAUUAUAAUUUUAAGUUUGACCUGCCCCCUGAAAAUUUUAAAUGGCCGCAGUAUUAUGACUGUGCUAAGGUAGCAUAAUCAUUAGUUUCUUAAUUAGAAGCUGGAAUGAAUGGUUGGAUGAAAUAAUAAUUGUCUCUAUUUAAUUUUUUUAAAAAUUUAUUUUUUAGUAAAAAAGCUAAAAUAAUUUUGAAAGACGAGAAGACCCUAUAGAGUUUAAUAUAUUAAAUAUUUUAAUUUUAUUGGAAUAUAAAUUUUUAAUUUAUAAAUAUAUUUAAUUGGGGUGAUUGAAAAAUUAAAUAAACUUUUUAUUUUAUAAAACAUUGAUUUAUGAAUAGUUGAUCCAUUGAUUAUGAUUAAAAGAUUAAAUUACCUUAGGGAUAACAGCGUAAUAUUUUCAGAGAGUUCUAAUCGAAGAAAAAGAUUGCGACCUCGAUGUUGGAUUAAAAUUAAUUGUUGGUGUAGAAGUUAAUAAUAUUAGGUCUGUUCGACCUUUAAAAUUUUACAUGAUCUGA